Non-coding RNA from Notechis scutatus (mainland tiger snake), 136 nucleotides. The record is from RefSeq and is a predicted model, not a curated record. Lineage: Eukaryota; Metazoa; Chordata; Lepidosauria; Squamata; Elapidae.
UAUGUGGAACCCACUAAGGUGCAUAUAAGUAAAGAGAUUAUCUAAGGUCAUACUCAAAGGAAAGAGUCAAGAUAAAGUAAAUCACGUCUACAGCAGUUGUACUUUACCAAGAUUUUCAAGAUCUUUUCUUGUUACA